This 951-nucleotide long non-coding RNA is filed under the name Chrysemys picta bellii (western painted turtle). Its description in RNAcentral is "lncRNA (ENSCPBG00000000701.1)". Lineage: Eukaryota; Metazoa; Chordata; Testudines; Emydidae. The record is from RNAcentral.
CACCCACAAAGACUCUAGGCCUCACUGUGGAAAAACUAAUUAAACUAAUGUGAAGUCUACGGAUGGAGGCAUUUUUAUAACAUGAUGUUCCAAAUAAAGGUUAGAAAAUAAAACAAACAUUCAUUUUCUGUCAGGAGACCACACAAGAAAAAUGUAGCUGCAGAAAGUGUUUGCUUGGAGGAAGUUAGAAGAACGCGUGUCCAAAAUCAAGCUUGGUAUGGAAAGCCAGUGUCUAUGAUGAUCUGGGUCCUGCCAUUUUGUGGAUUGACCUGCUCAGAGGAUCACUUUCAACAGGUACUCCCCUGAUUUAGGUGAUUUCCUUAAAGUAACCCCAAGGUUUUUGGAACAAUUUCCUUUCCUUUUUUGUUAAAGAUGAAAUUCUCUCAGGCAACUGAUUUUUGCUUGUUCUUUGGAUGGUUGCUUAAGAGAUGUCCCACUGUACUGAGAGAUACUUGAUACCAAGAAUGGCUGGAGAUUGUUGGGAUGAUACAGAGAAGAAUGAAAGGACAUAUUUAAAAGGAAAGCAAAGACCCCUGGCCACCGAGGAGGGCUCCUUAAAGACUGGGAAUGGACAAAGAAGGGUUCCCUCUGUACACAGGAGAGGAGAUCCAAAUGCAGAAAUAGGGAACAGAAUGUCUGGUAUCGAUGUCGGGAUCAUCUUGAAGUUCUGGAGAAAAAACAACAACCGAAAAGAAUUUCUAGCUAUGGUUGUGAAAGACGAUUAUCACAGCAUAUGACCUGAAGAUCGGUGUUACCUUUCCAUGAGGAUGCCACCCUCUCUGAACUGACAACCAGGCUUUGGAAGCACAAAUCAAGUAAUGCAUAGGGGAGAGCUUGCUGACAUUUUUUUCAUUGAAACAUUUUUUGGACCAAAAAUUGGCUUUUCUGACCAAAGUAAAAAUUUGUGUAGGAAAUUUUCAUUUUGGUGGAGAUUUUCCAGAUUUUUUGACA